Molecule: ribosomal RNA, 459 nt
Filed under: uncultured bacterium
Lineage: Bacteria
Description: partial 16S ribosomal RNA
Rfam family: Bacterial small subunit ribosomal RNA
Source: RNAcentral
CUACGGGUGGCUCCAGUGAGGAAUAUUGGUCAAUGGGCGCGAGCCUGAACCAGCCAUCCCGCGUGCAGGAUGACGGCCCUAUGGGUUGUAAACUGCUUUUCUAUGCCAAGAAACCUGAUUACGUGUAAUCAGUUGCCGGUAGCAUAGGAAUAAGCAUCGGCUAACUCCGUGCCAGCAGCCGCGGUAAUACGGAGGAUGCAAGGGUUAUCCGGAUUCAUUGGGUUUAAAGGGUGCGCAGGUGGGCUUGUAAGUCAGUGGUGAAAUGCUGCCGCUUAACGGUAGAACUGCCAUUGAUACUGGGAGUCUUGAGUAUGGUUGAGGUAGGCGGAAUGUGUUGUGUAGCGGUGAAAUGCAUAGAUAUGACACAGAACGCCAAUUGCGAAGGCAGCUUACUAAGCCAUUACUGACGCUGAGGCACGAAAGCGUGGGGAGCGAACAGGAUUAGAUACCCCAGUAGUC